CAGCCGCCGCGGUAAUACGUAGGUCCCGAGCGUUGUCCGGAUUUAUUGGGCGUAAAGGGCUCGCAGGCGGUUUCUUAAGUCUGAUGUGAAAGCCCCCGGCUCAACCGGGGAGGGUCAUUGGAAACUGGGAAACUUGAGUGCAGAAGAGGAGAGUGGGAUUCCACGUGUAGCGGUGAAAUGCGUAGAGAUGUGGAGGAACACCAGUGGCGAAGGCGACUCUCUGGUCUGUAACUGACGCUGAGGAGCGAAAGCGUGGGGAGCGAACAGGAUUAGAUACCCCUGUAGUCCCUGUCUCUUAUAC
Molecule: ribosomal RNA, 301 nt
Filed under: uncultured bacterium
Lineage: Bacteria
Description: partial 16S ribosomal RNA
Rfam family: Bacterial small subunit ribosomal RNA
Source: RNAcentral